UGGUGGAGCGGUUUGUCUGGUUAAUUCCGAUAACGAACGAGACUCUGGCCUAUUAAAUAGUUCGCCGAUUCCGAUCUGUCGGCGUUAACUUCUUAGAGGGACAAGUGGCUUUUAGCCACGCGAGAUUGAGCAAUAACA
RNAcentral lists this ribosomal RNA (138 nucleotides) under uncultured eukaryote. Its description in RNAcentral is "partial 18S ribosomal RNA". It matches the Rfam family "Eukaryotic small subunit ribosomal RNA", at positions 1299 to 1458 of the family's 1831-position model. The record is from RNAcentral.